Molecule: ribosomal RNA, 253 nt
Filed under: uncultured bacterium
Lineage: Bacteria
Description: partial 16S ribosomal RNA
Rfam family: Bacterial small subunit ribosomal RNA
Source: RNAcentral
UACGUAGGGUGCGAGCGUUAAUCGGAAUUACUGGGCGUAAAGCGUGCGCAGGCGGUUUGGUAAGACAGAUGUGAAAUCCCCGGGCUUAACCUGAGAAUUGCAUUUGUGACUGCCCGGCUAGAGUGUGUCAGAGGGGGGUGGAAUUCCACGUGUAGCAGUGAAAUGCGUAGAUAUGUGGAGGAAUACCGAUGGCGAAGGCAGCCCCCUGGGAUAACACUGACGCUCAUGCACGAAAGCGUGGGGAGCAAACAGG